GGCGCUAUAUUAGUUGUACCCAGUCUGGUGUCAUAUGAAAAAAACUGAAUUCUCAAGCUGCCCAAUAGAUGUGGAUACUUAAGAAGUCGUUCUAGCUGAAAAUCACAAAGUAUAUGAACCUUAAGUGAAUAGCAGACAAUUAUUUCUGUUCUAUAUUCAUAGAGCUAGUCAACUCAAAUUACGAAAAAUAACUACAUAUUAAACCAUUAGAAAUAUAUGCGAUAAAGUUCAGCUAACUGAGUUCAUAAUUAAAAAGAUAUUAGAGUGUGUCAAUGAGUGUGUUCUUAUCUGUCCUUUUCUAAUAGUUUUCAAACAGAGAUCAAAAUACUGAUGUUGAAACCAACAGAGAGGAACCCGAGGGUGUUAGUGAGUCUGUUCUUGUUUGUCCUUUUUCAAACAGAGAUCAAAAUACUAAUCCCGAAACCAACAGGGAAGAACCUUUGGGGUGACGGAUAAUUUUAGUAUCGCAUUAGUUCAAUCUACAAAAUCUAAACCCAAAAUGAACAUAUGUUUGGAGUAGCAUACCUCUAAACCAAAUAAGAACCGGCGUCUGAACAAAGUAAAAAGUAAAAAUGGUAAUAAUGUCCCAAAAGUGCAAUCAAAUAUACUCAAAUGAGUAAGCAGGUGGGGGAAAUAGGUCUGACCAUACUACUAUCAUUUUUUGUUAACACCAAGUCUAAACAAUCUAUGAUGUUCUUCUACAUGUGCAGAGGUAAAUUCGAAAUUUUGGAACAAUUAUUUGGUUUUAUAGUUUACUGGGACUAUAAACCCUUGCCUAAACAGUAGUUCAUUGAUUAAUAUGUCAAUUUUGAGGUAAGGUGACCACAUGGCAAGCAAGAUGUCAUGGAGCAAAUUCGAGGAAUAUUCUGAUCAUACCAUUUCAGUGGACAACCGACAAAGUAGAGUGAUAAGAAGAGGAUGCUUACUCGAUCAAGCAUCAGAGCUUCACCUAGUUUCUUUCCCUAGCAUCCAUCAGUUCCCCUCUCCUUCGAGGCUGAACGACCUCUUUGAGGGCUGGCAGG
Molecule: ribosomal RNA, 1022 nt
Filed under: Triticum aestivum (bread wheat)
Lineage: Eukaryota; Viridiplantae; Streptophyta; Magnoliopsida; Poales; Poaceae
Description: partial small subunit ribosomal RNA
Source: RNAcentral